AUACGUAGGGUGCGAGCGUUAAUCGGAAUUACUGGGCGUAAAGCGUGCGCAGGCGGUGAUGUAAGACAGAUGUGAAAUCCCCGGGCUCAACCUGGGAACUGCGUUUGUGACUGCAUCACUCGAGUACGGCAGAGGGAGGUGGAAUUCCACGUGUAGCAGUGAAAUGCGUAGAGAUGUGGAGGAACACCGAUGGCGAAGGCAGCCUCCUGGGCCAGUACUGACGCUCAUGCACGAAAGCGUGGGGAGC
Molecule: ribosomal RNA, 247 nt
Filed under: uncultured bacterium
Lineage: Bacteria
Description: partial 16S ribosomal RNA
Rfam family: Bacterial small subunit ribosomal RNA
Source: RNAcentral